AUAUACAAAAAUUUCCGAGCCGCAGCAUCUAAAGGCACUGCCCAUGAAGCUGCAGCCGAUGGGUAUGGAGAGAAAUUUCCUUGCCUCCCUGUUGGAAAGGAAAUGCUGUUUUGAUCUA
RNAcentral lists this non-coding RNA (118 nucleotides) under Clostridiales bacterium. RNAcentral's name for it is "MoCo sequence". It matches the Rfam family "Molybdenum/Tungsten riboswitch aptamer (Moco RNA motif)". The record is from RNAcentral. Lineage: Bacteria; Bacillati; Bacillota; Clostridia; Eubacteriales.